This 326-nucleotide unclassified non-coding RNA is filed under the name Nocardia abscessus. Its description in RNAcentral is "16S-23S ribosomal RNA intergenic spacer region". Lineage: Bacteria; Bacillati; Actinomycetota; Actinomycetes; Mycobacteriales; Nocardiaceae. The record is from RNAcentral.
AAGGAGCAUCUCCAGUGAGUGUCUCGUGGAGUCGGGAUCGCUUCUGGCAGAGCCGCUUAUGUCCUCGAAUGUGGGACUGCGGAGCUCAUGGGUGGAACGCUGACAACUUUCUUCCGCGUAUCGGUCGGUCUUGGAUGAUCGGCUGGCGGUUGAUAUAUCGACACACUGUUGGGUCCUGAAAGAACAGGCGUUCUUUCCAGGCAAAAAAUACGAUCCGCCCGGAUUUCCUUGAUACCUCGGGGUUUUUGAUUUCGAUGGUCUUGGAGUUCGAUUCGGUGUGGGUGUGUUGUUUGAGAACUGCACAGUGGACGCGAGCAUCUUUGUUA